CUACGUGCCAGCAGCCGCGGUAAUACGUAGGGUGCGAGCGUUGUCCGGAAUUACUGGGCGUAAAGAGCUCGUAGGUGGUUUGUUGCGUCGUCUGUGAAAUUCCGGGGCUUAACUUCGGGGUGGCAGGCGAUACGGGCAUAACUAGAGUGCUGUAGGGGAGACUGGAAUUCCUGGUGUAGCGGUGGAAUGCGCAGAUAUCAGGAGGAACACCGAUGGCGAAGGCAGGUCUCUGGGCAGUAACUGACGCUGAGGAGCGAAAGCAUGGGGAGCGAACAGGAUUAGAUACCCGGGUAGUCCACGCCGUAAACGAUGGAUACUAGCUGUUGGAGGUAUCGACCCCUUCAGUAGCGAAGCUAACGCGUUAAGUAUCCCGCCUGUGGAGUACGGUCGCAAGACUAAAACAUAAAGGGAUUGACGGGGACCCGCACAAGCGGUGGAUCGUGUUCUUUAAUUCGAUGCUAAACGAAGAACCUUACCAGGGCUUGACAUCCAG
This 493-nucleotide ribosomal RNA is filed under the name uncultured bacterium. RNAcentral describes it as "bacterial SSU rRNA". It matches the Rfam family "Bacterial small subunit ribosomal RNA", at positions 501 to 991 of the family's 1533-position model. The record is from RNAcentral.